Molecule: long non-coding RNA, 579 nt
Organism: Passer domesticus (house sparrow)
Lineage: Eukaryota; Metazoa; Chordata; Aves; Passeriformes; Passeridae
Exons: 3
Source: RefSeq, a predicted model, not a curated record
UAAACAACCCAACCCUGAAAAGCACUCCUGCCAUUACUCAUGCAAACAAGCUUAAGCAAAUCAAUAGGGAUUUGCAGGAUUGGUCUUCUGUCUUUGACCAGAGAAAAGCCACUCUGAGGGGACACUGUGGGAAGACUGACUAGAAACAAGACCUUCCCAUUUCAACUCAGUGACCUCAGCAGAGUCUGUCUCACCCCUUCAUGAACACAACCAGCAGAAGCACGGGACAGCUAACAAGAGGAAGGCUGGGUGCAUGGCAGUAACCACCUGCCAUCUUGGCUCUUGUUGGGAGCAUUAACAGCAGCCUUCAGACUCUUCAGCCUUGAGACUCUUCAGACUGUUGCCAACAAAUUAAGUGGUACUGACAGUUCAAGGGCCGCUCCAUAGUGAGGCAAGAGAUGAAGGGAAAGAAUCAAAUCAAGCAUAACAAUGACCAAGAGGAACGUUAUUUAAGAUGGCAAUGGAAAUAGGGAAUCAUUACAAGCACUUCUGGAAAUAUCUGAAGAAAAACAAGGAAAUUAUGCUGAUUGCUGUGGAAGAGGAGAAAAAAUGCUCAGGUCCUUGAAUAAAUACAUUUGA